This 518-nucleotide ribosomal RNA is filed under the name uncultured bacterium. RNAcentral describes it as "bacterial SSU rRNA". It matches the Rfam family "Bacterial small subunit ribosomal RNA", at positions 903 to 1397 of the family's 1533-position model. The record is from RNAcentral.
AAAGGAAUAGACGGGGACUCGCACAAGCGGUGGAUCAUGAGGUUUAAUUCGACACAAAACGAAGAACCUUACCAGGGCUUGAAAUGCUAGUGAAGGUUGUCCGAAAGGAUGACCGUCUUUUCAAGGACGCUAGCACAGGUGCUGCAUGGUUAUCGUCAGCUCGUGGCUUGAGUUGUUCCCUUAAGUGGGGUAACGAGCGCAACCCUUAUUGCAUGUUAAAUCUGUCAUGCAAAACUGCCCCCGCUUAAGUUUUCAAGAUUAUUUUUUGAAAAUUUAAGCGGGGGAGGAAGGAGGGGAUGACGUUAAAUCAGCAUGGCCUUCUGAUGUCCUGGGCUACACUCAUGAUACAAUGGUCGGUACAAAGAGUUGCCAAGCCGUAAGGCGGAGCUAAUCUCAAAAAACCGGCCCCAGUUCAGAUUGAGGGCUGCAAUUCGCCCUCAUGAAGCCGGAAUCGCUAGUAAUCGCGGAUCAGCUAUGCCGUGGUGAAUACGUUCUCGAGUCCUGUACACACCGCCCGU